AGCAGCCGCGGUAAUUCCAGCUCCAAUAGCGUAUAUUAAAGUUGUUGCAGUUAAAAAGCUCGUAGUUGAAUUUCGGGAUCGAUGCGUCGGUCGUGCCUCGGUACGCACUAACGAUAUCGAUUUCUACCUUCUGACGAACCGUGAUGUCAUUAAUUUGGUGUUACGGGGGUUAGGACUGUUACUUUGAAAAAAUUAGAGUGUUUAAAGCAAGCAAUCGCUCGAAUACAUUAGCAUGGAAUAAUGAAAUAGGACGUUCGAACCUAUUUUGUUGGUUUCUAGGAUCGACGUAAUGAUUAAUAGGGAUAGUUGGGGGCAUUAGUAUUCAAUUGUCAGAGGUGAAAUUCUUGGAUUUAUUGAAGACUAACUACUGCGAAAGCAUUUGCCAAGGAUGUUUUCAUUAAUCAAGAACGAAAGUUAGGGGAUCGAAGACGAUCAGAUACCGUCGUAGUCUUAACCAUAAACUAUGCCGACUAGGGAUCGGAUGAUGUUAAUUUUUAAUGACUCAUUCGGCGCCUUACGG
This 520-nucleotide ribosomal RNA is filed under the name uncultured Glomus. Its description in RNAcentral is "SSU rRNA". It matches the Rfam family "Eukaryotic small subunit ribosomal RNA", at positions 569 to 1093 of the family's 1831-position model. The record is from RNAcentral. Lineage: Eukaryota; Fungi; Glomeromycota; Glomeromycetes; Glomerales; Glomeraceae.